This 400-nucleotide ribosomal RNA is filed under the name phytoplankton environmental sample. RNAcentral describes it as "partial small subunit ribosomal RNA". It matches the Rfam family "Eukaryotic small subunit ribosomal RNA", at positions 587 to 991 of the family's 1831-position model. The record is from RNAcentral.
AGCUCCAAUAGCGUAUAUUAAAGUUGUUGCAGUUAAAAAGCUCGUAGUUGGAUUUGUGGUGUACUUCGGCGGCCCGUCACUAUGUGAUGGAGCUUGCUGAAGUCGCCAUCCUUGGGUGGAUCCUGUGUGGCAUUGAGUUGUCGUGCAGGGGAUGCCCAUCGUUUACUGUGAAAAAAUUAGAGUGUUCAAAGCAGGCUUAUGCCGUUGAAUAUAUUAGCAUGGAAUAAUAAGAUAGGACCUUGGUACUAUUUUGUUGGUUUGCGCACCAAGGUAAUGAUUAAUAGGGACAGUUGGGGGUAUUCGUAUUUCAUUGUCAGAGGUGAAAUUCUUGGAUUUUUGAAAGACGAACUACUGCGAAAGCAUUUACCAAGGAUGUUUUCAUUAAUCAAGAACGAAAGUA